RNAcentral lists this ribosomal RNA (460 nucleotides) under uncultured bacterium. Its description in RNAcentral is "partial 16S ribosomal RNA". It matches the Rfam family "Bacterial small subunit ribosomal RNA", at positions 338 to 795 of the family's 1533-position model. The record is from RNAcentral.
CCUACGUGAGACAGCAGUGAGGAAUAUUGGUCAAUGGACGCAAGUCUGAACCAGCCAUGCCGCGUGCAGGAAGACGGCUCUAUGAGUUGUAAACUGCUUUUGUACGAGGGUAAACGCAGAUACGCGUAUCUGUCUGAAAGUAUCGUACGCAUAAGGAUCGGCUAACUCCGUGCCAGCAGCCGCGGGUAUAAGGAGGAUUCAAGCGUUUUCCGGAUUUAUUGGGUUUAAAGGGUGCGUAGGCGGUCGGAUAAGUUAGAGGUGAAAUCCCGAGGCUCAACUUCGGAAUUGCCUCUGAUACUGUUCGGCUAGAGAGUAGUUGCGGUAGGCGGAAUGUAUGGUGUAGCGGUGAAAUGCUUAGAGAUCAUACAGAACACCGAUUGCGAAGGCAGCUUACCAAGCUACUUCUGACGUUGAGGCACGAAAGCGUGGGGAGCAAACAGGAUUAGAUACCCCAGUAGUC